RNAcentral lists this ribosomal RNA (352 nucleotides) under uncultured Bacteroidota bacterium. RNAcentral's name for it is "bacterial SSU rRNA". It matches the Rfam family "Bacterial small subunit ribosomal RNA", at positions 135 to 486 of the family's 1533-position model. Lineage: Bacteria; Pseudomonadati; Bacteroidota. The record is from RNAcentral.
ACUGAAGGAUAGCCCAGAGAAAUUUGGAUUAAUACUUCAUAAUAAUAUUUUUUGGCAUCAUGAAAUAAUUAAAACUCAGGUGGUUAUAGAUGAGCAUGCGUUCUAUUAGCUUGUUGGUGAGGUAAAAGCUCACCAAGGCAACGAUAGAUAGGGGGCCUGAAAGGGUGAUCCCCCACACUGGUACUGAGACACGGACCAGACUCCUACGGGAGGCAGCAGUGAGGAAUAUUGCACAAUGGAGGAAACUCUGAUGCAGCCAUGCCGCGUGCAGGAUGAAUGCCCUACGGGUUGUAAACUGCUUUUUUACAAGAAGAAACCUUGGUACGUGUACCAACUUGACGGUAUUUAAGAA